Lepus europaeus (European hare) is the source of this 2708-nucleotide long non-coding RNA. RefSeq lists it as uncharacterized. The transcript is spliced from 3 exons. The record is from RefSeq and is a predicted model, not a curated record. NCBI's taxonomy places the organism in Eukaryota, Metazoa, Chordata, Mammalia, Lagomorpha, Leporidae.
UGAGAGGGUGGAGGAGAGGAACAGAAGCAUUUGUUCUUCAAAACUCUCCUCUCCCCACAGCCCGGAGGUCUCCAGUUCCAGAGGAGGAUGGCGUUGGAGGAGCCCCAGUCAUGACUCACUCAGAGCUAAUCCUUGGCGAAUCUGUCACCAUGGAAACUGCCAAUCAUCCAUGCUUUUCAUAGCUUCACCGAACAUCUGCCCUGGGAAAGCAAGUAGCGUGCUGCAUUCAUCCUGCCUACGGUGUUUAUGGAUAGGCCCCCGGUAAACAGACACCAGGGGAAGCAGCCCUCGCAGCAGGACCAUGGUCUAGCCCGCCUCGCUCCUGGGCUGAGUGCCUCUGAUCAAGCCCUUCCCAAGCUCUUCAGCGGCCCCCUUUCCAGCAGCCCAUUAUGUCCAGCGUCCAUGAGGUUUUCAACAUAACCAUCAAUAAAGAAUAUGGAUUUCAAAAAGACAGAAAGUUGAGAGUUGCUGGACUAACUGAUCUCAAAGUGAAUCCAGUCCAGUCCCCAGGCUAUAGAGAAGAGGAGGAGGCUGACCUAGAUCUGAUUGCCGUGGGGCAGGUAACUGGCAGCAAGGAAGCAGGAUUUGCCUGCACACUGUUUUGGCUUCUGUUUCUCAACAGCCUAGGUCCUUCGGAGAUUUCCGAGGAGAGCAGGAAUGGAAAAGCAGCAGCAGAUGGCUGGGGACUGUAGUGGUGGCAAAAGAUGACAGGACUAUGUGGUUUGUGGGGCCCAGUGCAAACAAAACUACAGGAACCCUUGUUCAAAACUUACUAGGACUUUUAGCCACAGAAAGCAACAACCAAGUGUGGGGCCCCUCUGGGCAUGGACCCAGCGUGAAUGCACAGGUCACUCACGCAGGCAGCAGGCCCUAGAGAGAAAUCCCAUAGAAGACUGGCCUUGGAGCUGGAGACAGAGAAAGAGGCCCACAGGCUCUGGAGCAGUAUGGACCUAGGACCCUGGCAGCACUAAUGUGUAUCCAGUAAGACCCGAGAGAGGAGGGUCCAGGAAGCAUACAGAUCCUAAGCCUUCGUUUCCCAAGCUCAGCAGAUUUCUGGUCCCCAAAAGUGGCUCGGGGCAGCACAAAGCUGCAGACAGGACAAUGGGAGGACCUGGCUGUGUCCAUAGAUGAGGAAUACCCAGAGCCCCUCUUCAGUGCCUCAGUACCUGGGUUUGCCCCCAAAGCCUGGACUGGUGUGCAGCACGGCAGGGCCAGGUGCAGCAGCAGCACAGACUGGCAGGAUCAUUUUGGCAGAAAGAAAGCUCAGGGUCAGAGUGACUUUCUCUUCAUUUUAUAAGACACGAACAGAUGCACUUUUGCUUCACAAAUCUGGAUACGUGGGACAGAAUCUUAACUGUCACUACUGAAGCCCGGCGCCAGGAUUAUCACCACGGCCACGCCUCAAGGGGGCUCACUUAGGAGCCCCUUGUAGUGUGUGAUUCAAGGGAAAGAUCAACUCUGGGCCAGAGUGAUCAGGCGGCAGAGAUGAAGAGAAGCAGAGAAAACCCAGUGAUAUUCGGUUCAACUUGACAGGUCUUGGAGGGUGCUGGGAAGAAAGAGGGAGGUGAAGGAGUAACUCCCCAUUAUCGGCAUGGCAAUCAGUUGGAUGGAGGUGUCCUUGGCUGAGAUCAGAAGUAGAGGAGAAGAACUUCUUAGAGGAGCGAUGGAAUAUGUUUGAUCCUGAACUUGCUGGCCUGAGAUAGCCAAGAGACGAUGACACACAGACAAGUAGGUACAGGAUGUGAAACUUAAAGUCUGGGUUACGGUUAGCAAUAUUGGAGUCCUCAGUAUUUGGGUGGUCACUGAACAAUGGACACGGAUGAAAUUCUGAGGAAGACAGCCCAGAAGAAAAGAGGACCCGGGAACAGCUGGAAGGAGCCUGACACUUAAUGGACAGGCAGAAGAGGACGUACCGGGAGAGGCAAGUCAGAGAGCGGGAGGGACAUGUGAAGGCUGCCGCCUGGGACCAGGCAAAGAAGAGAGGCAGGCAGCGGUUGCUGGUACACCGGGCAGCUUCUCAUCACUACACAAGGACCCGAGAGGUUGAUGAAGCAAGGUUUCUUUCUGCUCAUGGCACUGGAGGGUCACAGGCCAAGACUGGGUGCCCCGUUAAGUCUGGCAUCUGGUGAGGGUGGUGGACAGCAGACCUGUGAGGAGGAGGAACUGUACGGCCAGCCUGGAAGCAGAGAGACACAGGGAGCGUGCGCCUCAGUGUGGUCCUUCUACAAGUCAGCACGACCUGAUCUCAGGGGCCCCUCCCAACCUAAUCAAAUCACAUCCCUCUCCAAGGCCCCACCCUCACUCACAGUAACUGGAUUAAGUGCUGUUAUAACAUGAGACUCUGAGAAUCAAGAUUUUAACACAUGGGCCUUUGGGGUAACUCAAACUAUUAUACAAACCAUAACAGCUGUGGGGAGGUCAAGUCAGUGAGAAACUAGGGGCAGGCACUUAGCAUUGUAGUUGACGCCACUUAGGAUACCUGCAUGCUAUACUGGAGUGCCUGGGUUCAGAUCUGGGCUCUGCUCCUGAUUCCAGCUUCCUGCUAAUGAGACAAGAGACUAUGGCCCAAGUACAUGGGUUCCUGCCACCCAUGUGGGAGACCUACAUUGAGUCCCAGGAUCCUGGUUGCAGCCUGGCCCGGUCCCAGCUGUUGCAGCCAUUUGAGGAGUGAACCAGUGGGUGAAACACCUUUCCCUCUCUCCCUCCCU